Macaca nemestrina (pig-tailed macaque) is the source of this 116-nucleotide ribosomal RNA. The record is from Ensembl. Lineage: Eukaryota; Metazoa; Chordata; Mammalia; Primates; Cercopithecidae.
GUCUACGCACAUACCACCCUGAACGCGCCCGAUCUCAUCUGAUCUCGGAAGCUAAGCAGUGUCGGGCCUGGUUAGUACUUGGAUGGGAGACAGAGGGAUACCGUGCCUAAUAUAUU